This is a long non-coding RNA of Thalassophryne amazonica, 265 nucleotides long. RefSeq lists it as uncharacterized. Lineage: Eukaryota; Metazoa; Chordata; Actinopteri; Batrachoidiformes; Batrachoididae. The transcript has 3 exons. The record is from RefSeq and is a predicted model, not a curated record.
UGAGGCCGCGGCACGCUCCGUUUACUAAUAAAAUAAAUUUAAAAGAGUAAAAAGCAUAGUAACCUACUAUGCCAGUAUGCUAGCCAUACGAAAGGAAAAAUAAGUGCGUCUUAAGUCUGGACUUGGAAGUCUCUACACAAUCUGACUGUUAUAUUGACGCAGGGAGAUCAUUCCACAGAACAGGGGCACGAUAAGAGAAAGCUCUGUGACCCACAGACUUUUUUAUUCACCCUAGGGACACUAAUUAGGUUUGCACAAUAAGAAC